This 225-nucleotide unclassified non-coding RNA is filed under the name Hevea brasiliensis (rubber tree). Lineage: Eukaryota; Viridiplantae; Streptophyta; Magnoliopsida; Malpighiales; Euphorbiaceae. The record is from RNAcentral.
AUUUAUUUUGGUUGUUUAAAAAAAAUUCAACAGAAAUUAACAGGGCAUAGCAGAUUUUACCAGACUUGAUCCAGUAGUUGAGAGUAUAAAACCAGAACAAGCUAGGGAAGGGGAGGAAACAGCUGGAGAUCACUGGUAUGGGAGGUCUUGGGAAAAAUUAGCUUUAGUCUUUGCUAAUAAACAAAGCUAAGCAAUUAUGCCCAAUCCCCCCAUACCCAUAACUCC